GUCCUCCUCAGAGGAGACGGUGACAUCAUCCUAGGGACCCGGACCCCAGGACGGCACUGAGGUAACCGUGUGGAGUCACCUUAGGGAGCCCUUCCUGCCCGAGCAGGUCUGUCCACCUCUGAGGCCCAGACGCAGGUCCCGGGGCCAGUCUGGUGGAAGCCACUGUCCUGCCGUCACCGUCACCAGGUCCUCUAGAGAGGGGACUUUGUGAUUCACUUAAAAAUUCCCGCGCAGCCCCCCGACCCGGCAGGGUGGCUCUGCCAACCACGUGCGCCGUUGUUCAGAGCAUGGAAACCUGAUCCGCGUCAACCUCAGUGCUGUCCCCUCCACGAGGACAGGACAUGGGGUCGUCUCAAUGGGUGCUGAAGAAGCAUUUUAAAAUCCAAGAUCCGGCCCUGACUAAGAGCCCGCAGCCCAGCAGGGUACAAAGGAGCGUCUCCAAGGUGACGCCGGCUUCCUCUCAAUCCUGCCGCCCGGCCGGCCGUCCUUAGUGGUGGCCGGCGGCUGCCCCUGUACAUCAGGAAUCAGUGGAGAGCCACACGCCCUCCUCUCAGCCUUGUCCUGCAGACGCUGACCGGUGCAAUCAGGGAAAUAAGAGCAGACGUGAAGAGGAGAAGCGGAAGCGUCUUCACGCAGACACAGCCUGGUCCAGAGGGCGACUCUGCAAAGCUGAGCUCAGAGAGUUGAGGACCAAGUCCAAUAGGUAGAACCAAGUGAUGUUCCCCUGCUGUUUACUCGACCAAGGGACGAUCAGAAACCGAUCUCGUUUUGAAACACCCAGGGCUGAGUUGGGGAAAUACGUACAGGACUCCUGCCCUUGAAACCACAAAACACUGGGAAGAGAAAGAGAAGAAGAAGAUCCAGAAACGGACACUGUCCAUGGCUCCGAAGGCUCCCCAAUGUCCCGUUGGUCGUCCCCACACUGAUCUGUGAUUGUAGCACAGUCUUGAGCAAAACCCCGACAGGAGUCUUCCUACAGCCCAGCGGGCUCAUUCUGCCUGCACUGGCCAUCGACAAAGACCCGGAGAGCCACGACCACUUGGAGAGACCAGGACCUCAAGGAAAGACUGGCCCUGACCGACUUUGAGCUGUGUUCUACAGUCGAAGUCAUCGAGAGGAGGUGCCGACGCACCAGGAGCUUCACGGGGCAGAGUAGCCCCACGCGUGCGUGGACAGCGGAUUUUUGGAAAAGGCAGGAGG
Molecule: long non-coding RNA, 1200 nt
Filed under: Marmota monax (woodchuck)
Lineage: Eukaryota; Metazoa; Chordata; Mammalia; Rodentia; Sciuridae
Source: RNAcentral